This 519-nucleotide ribosomal RNA is filed under the name uncultured bacterium. RNAcentral's name for it is "bacterial SSU rRNA". It matches the Rfam family "Bacterial small subunit ribosomal RNA", at positions 19 to 518 of the family's 1533-position model. The record is from RNAcentral.
CUGGUUCAGAACGAACGCUGGCGGCGUGCUUAACACAUGCAAGUCGAACGCGAAAGGGACUUCGGUCCUGAGUAAAGUGGCGCACGGGUGAGUAACGCGUAGAUAACCUGUCUUCAUGUCUGGAAUAAUACGCCAAAGGGGUACUAAUACCGGAUAUUCUUGCUUUUCAUAAGUUAUGCAAGCAAAGGUGGCCUCUGCAUAUGUUACUGCAUGAAGAGGGGUCUGCGUACCAUUAGCUAGUAGGUGGGGUAAUGGCCUACCUAGGCGACGAUGGUUAGCGGGUCUGAGAGGAUGAUCCGCCACACUGGCACUGGAACACGGGCCAGACUCCUACGGGAGGCAGCAGUGAGGAAUAUUGCGCAAUGGGGGAAACCCUGACGCAGCGACGCCGCGUGAGUGAAGGAAGGCCUUCGGGUCGUAAAGCUCUGUCAAGAGGAAAGAAGUGUACAAUGGCUAAUACCUGUUGUAUUUGACGGUACCUCUAAAGGAAGCACCGGCUAACUCCGUGCCAGCCGCUGC